UUUUUUUUUGAAUACUAAGAGAUUUUGGGCCGAAUGCCAUAAUCAUAAUAAUCCUAAUGUAUUUUUUUUUUCCUUACGCUCCAUCUAAUGUUACUUACUCUUGAUGACUAGAAAUUUGCUAAAAAA
This 126-nucleotide small RNA is filed under the name Arabidopsis thaliana (thale cress). Its description in RNAcentral is "ATSL106720". Lineage: Eukaryota; Viridiplantae; Streptophyta; Magnoliopsida; Brassicales; Brassicaceae. The record is from RNAcentral.